CAAAAGUUAGCUCAUUAGGUAGAGCAGUUGACUAUUAAUCAACGUGUAACAGGUUCGAUUCCUGUACUUUUCACCA
Molecule: transfer RNA, 76 nt
Filed under: Chamaesiphon minutus PCC 6605
Lineage: Bacteria; Bacillati; Cyanobacteriota; Cyanophyceae; Gomontiellales; Chamaesiphonaceae
Description: tRNA-Asn
Rfam family: tRNA
About the family: Transfer RNA (tRNA) molecules are approximately 80 nucleotides in length.
Source: RNAcentral